AUUGAACGCUGGCGGCAGGCCUAACACAUGCAAGUCGAACGAGUGGCGGACGGGUGAGUAAUGUCUGGGACCCUGCCUGAUGGAGGGGGAUAACUACUGGAAACGGUAGCUAAUACCGCAUCCCAUCGGAUGUGCCCAGAUGGGAUUAGCUAGUAGGUGGGGUAAAGGCUCACCUAGGCGACGAUCCCUAGCUGGUCUGAGAGGAGGACCAGCCACACGUGAACUGAGACACGGUCCAGACGCCUACGGGAGGGAGCAGGGGGGAAUAGGGCACAAUGGGCGCAAGCCUGAUGCAGCCAUGCCGCGUGUAUGAAGAAGGCCUUCGGGGUGUAAAGUACUUUCAGCGGGGAGGCGUUACCCGCAGAAGAAGCACCGGCUAACUCCGUGCCAGCAGCCGCGGUAAUAC
RNAcentral lists this ribosomal RNA (406 nucleotides) under uncultured bacterium. RNAcentral describes it as "partial 16S ribosomal RNA". It matches the Rfam family "Bacterial small subunit ribosomal RNA", at positions 29 to 526 of the family's 1533-position model. The record is from RNAcentral.